This 255-nucleotide ribosomal RNA is filed under the name uncultured bacterium. RNAcentral's name for it is "partial 16S ribosomal RNA". It matches the Rfam family "Bacterial small subunit ribosomal RNA", at positions 521 to 776 of the family's 1533-position model. The record is from RNAcentral.
UAAUACGUAGGGGGCAAGCAUUAUCCGGAAUCACUGGGCGUAAAGGGUGCGUAGGCGGCUGAGCAAGCCAGGGGUGAAAGGCAGUAGCUUAACUAUUGUAAGCCUUUGGAACUGUUCAGCUUGAGUGUAGGAGAGGUAAGUGGAAUUCCUAGUGUAGCGGUGAAAUGCGUAGAUAUUAGGAGGAACACCAGUGGCGAAGGCGACUUACUGGACUAUAACUGACGCUGAGGCACGAAAGCGUGGGGAGCAAACAGG